Bos grunniens (domestic yak) is the source of this 107-nucleotide small nuclear RNA. Lineage: Eukaryota; Metazoa; Chordata; Mammalia; Artiodactyla; Bovidae. The record is from Ensembl.
GUGCUUGCUUCAGCAGCACAUAUACUAAAACUGGAACGAUACAGAGAAGAUUAGCAUGGCCCCUGCACAAGGAUGACACGCAAAUUCGUGAAGCGUUCCAUAUUUUU